Molecule: ribosomal RNA, 690 nt
Filed under: uncultured Acidobacteriota bacterium
Lineage: Bacteria; Pseudomonadati; Acidobacteriota
Description: bacterial SSU rRNA
Rfam family: Bacterial small subunit ribosomal RNA
Source: RNAcentral
GAUCCUGGCUCAGAAUCAACGCUGGCGGCGUGCCUAAUACAUGCAAGUCGAACGCGAAAGCCCCGCAAGGGGCAAGUAGAGUGGCAAACGGGUGAGUAACGCGUGGGCGACCUACCUUCGAGUGGGGGAUAACAUUCCGAAAGGAGUGCUAAUACCGCAUGACAUCCCGUGUUUGGAUACACGGACAUCAAAGCCGGGGAUCGCAAGACCUGGCGCUUGGAGAGGGGCCCGCGUCCGAUUAGCUAGUUGGUGGGGUAACGGCCCACCAAGGCUUCGAUCGGUAUCCGGCCUGAGAGGGCGGACGGACACACUGGAACUGAGACACGGUCCAGACUCCUACGGGAGGCAGCAGUAGGGAAUUGUUCGCAAUGGGCGCAAGCCUGACGACGCAACGCCGCGUGGAGGAUGAAGACUUUCGGGUCGUAAACUCCUUUCGACCGAGAUGAAUACCUUCCGGCUUAAUACGCUGGAAGGCUGACAGUAUCGAGGGAAGAAGCCCCGGCUAACUCCGUGCCAGCAGCCGCGGUAAUACGGGGGGGGCAAGCGUUGUUCGGAAUUACUGGGCGUAAAGGGUUCGUAGGUGGCCAACUAAGUCAAACGUGAAAUCCCUCAGCUCAACUGGGGAACUGCGUCUGAUACUGGUUGGCUUGAGUGCAGGAGAGGAACGCGGAAUUCCAGGUGUAGCGGUGA